GACGAACGCUGGCGGCGUGCUUAACACAUGCAAGUCGAACGGAAAGGCCCUGCUUUUGUGGGGUGCUCGAGUGGCGAACGGGUGAGUAACACGUGAGUAACCUGCCCUUGACUUUGGGAUAACUUCAGGAAACUGGGGCUAAUACCGGAUAGGAGCUCCUGCUGCAUGGUGGGGGUUGGAAAGUUUCGGCGGUUGGGGAUGGACUCGCGGCUUAUCAGCUUGUUGGUGGGGUAGUGGCUUACCAAGGCUUUGACGGGUAGCCGGCCUGAGAGGGUGACCGGCCACAGUGGGACUGAGAUAAGGCCCAGACUCCUACGGGAGGCAGCAGUGGGGAAUAUUGCACAAUGGGCGGAAGCCUGAUGCAGCAACGCCGCGUGCGGGAUGAAGGCCUUCGGGUUGUAAACCGCUUUCGCCUGUGACGAAGCGUGAGUGACGGUAAUGGGUAAAGAAGCACCGGCUAACUACGUG
Molecule: ribosomal RNA, 468 nt
Filed under: uncultured bacterium
Lineage: Bacteria
Description: partial 16S ribosomal RNA
Rfam family: Bacterial small subunit ribosomal RNA
Source: RNAcentral